AAGCCCGUGAGGGAUUGUCUGGAGGAAGCCGGAGUGCAAGAGGUGCGAGGCGACGGACAGAAACCGCAUAGAAGGCCGAGGCAGGCGAGGCGAGCUGGCACAUGACAGCGAAGCCCAACGGUACGCCGGCCACGGUAAAUGCGGCGCUUGUGCACCGACAGUUCGCGUU
Non-coding RNA from Nitrosomonas europaea ATCC 19718, 169 nucleotides. The record is from Rfam. NCBI's taxonomy places the organism in Bacteria, Pseudomonadati, Pseudomonadota, Betaproteobacteria, Nitrosomonadales, Nitrosomonadaceae.